UAGGGAAUCUUCCACAAUGGACGAAAGUCUGAUGGAGCAACGCCGCGUGAGUGAAGAAGGGUUUCGGCUCGUAAAACUCUGUUGUUAAAGAAGAACAUAUCUGAGAGUAACUGUUCAGGUAUUGACGGUAUUUAACCAGAAAGCCACGGCUAACUACGUGCCAGCAGCCGCGGUAAUACGUAGGUGGCAAGCGUUGUCCGGAUUUAUUGGGCGUAAAGCGAGCGCAGGCGGUUUUUUAAGUCUGAUGUGAAAGCCUUCGGCUCAACCGAAGAAGUGCAUCGGAAACUGGGAAGCUUGAGUGCAGAAGAGGACAGUGGAACUCCAUGUGUAGCGGUGAAAUGCGUAGAUAUAUAGAAGAACACCAGUGGCGAAGGCGGCUGUCUGGUCUGUAACUAACGCUGAGGCUCGAAAGUAUGGGUAGCAAACAGG
Molecule: ribosomal RNA, 429 nt
Filed under: bacterium
Lineage: Bacteria
Description: partial 16S ribosomal RNA
Rfam family: Bacterial small subunit ribosomal RNA
Source: RNAcentral